UUUGCAGGUAAUACUUUAAUGUCUUACAACGUACAGUGUUUGAUAUUUAGCGAAAAUAAAAUUCUGAAGCAUUAACUUGCUGGCAUCUUGGAACUACCCUCUGAAUCUGGAAGAGUGAAGAAGGGCAAACCGAAGCCAGGAUAAAGUGCCUACUGUAAGUCCUGAGGACAGCGACAUCCUGUUACGGCUUUUCCGAGACGCAGAAGGGUUAAUGAGCCUCCCAGAAGCCCUGACUUCCUCCCCGUGAGUCACUGGGCACAGAGGAGACCAGACCCAUAUAUCCUCAUGACAUCUAUUGGCGAGAAGUGGUUGCUGCCCCCUUUCAGACCAAGCAAGGACCAUUUGUCAUAGUCAACACCACGUGCCCUGACUAGUCUCUGUGGACAUUUGAUUUUUGCGAUCCCAGAUAAAGCAGAAGACCACAUAAAGAAACAGUGGCAAGACACUGUGUAACCCAGCUUAUUCCUUUCUUCAGCAGAUACAGAUAGUUACACCGUGCUUCAACAUGGCAGACACUAGCCAGGCAAGGUCUCUCUGAAUGGCACCAUAACUGCUACCUGGUUCAUUUAUCUCUGCUCUUAGCCCCACUGGCAAGCUCAAUCUUGCCCCAGGCU
Long non-coding RNA from Acinonyx jubatus (cheetah), 614 nucleotides. RefSeq lists it as uncharacterized. The record is from RefSeq and is a predicted model, not a curated record. Lineage: Eukaryota; Metazoa; Chordata; Mammalia; Carnivora; Felidae. The transcript is spliced from 3 exons.